UUGAACCUUCUCUCUCUCUCUCUCUCUCUCUCUCUUGCAGGGGGGUCUUCAACAUGAGCAAGGAUUUCCUCUCUUCCUUUGUUUUAUUCAACACUUUGUAUACCAUACCGUCAUGUGCCUAUGGUGAAGAAAAAUUCAACAAAUUGAAAGCGAAAAUUAUCUGGAAAAAAAAAAAAAACAAAAAACAAAGAAUUGAAGGAAUUCAAACAGGUUCCGUAGAACUUGGAGAUUGAUCUUUGGAAUGAAUCAAAGAAGAUUGACUGAUCUUUGGAAUGAAUCAAAGAAGAUUGAUGAGUAGAAUAAAAUGUCUAGGAUAAAGCAAACCCAUAUGAUGAAAAUAUGAUAUUCUUGAUUUUUUUUAUUAUUUUUUUUUUAAUUUUUUUU
Ziziphus jujuba (common jujube) is the source of this 384-nucleotide long non-coding RNA. RefSeq lists it as uncharacterized. NCBI's taxonomy places the organism in Eukaryota, Viridiplantae, Streptophyta, Magnoliopsida, Rosales, Rhamnaceae. The transcript has 2 exons. The record is from RefSeq and is a predicted model, not a curated record.